Molecule: long non-coding RNA, 6047 nt
Filed under: Lactuca sativa (garden lettuce)
Lineage: Eukaryota; Viridiplantae; Streptophyta; Magnoliopsida; Asterales; Asteraceae
Description: long non-coding RNA (LSAT_LNC008492)
Source: RNAcentral
UUUAACGUUAUUUUCAGGUUAUAAAUAGCAAAGGCGAUGUUCUUCAGUGUAGUCAUUACAUGCCAACUGUUCUCCCUGAAGGAAAGCCUCUGCCUUGUGUUAUAUACUGCCAUGGCAACAGGUUAGUUAGUAUAUAUAUGUCGCCUCUUAGACACAUUUGAUAUUAAUGCUCAAAUGUAACAUUUGUAUCUUUUGAGAUUUUUGUCCUUUUUUACUUAUUCAAUUUUAUUUUUAUGUACUUAUUUGGUUAUAUUAUAUCAUUUAUAUCAGUGGGAGUCGUGCAGAUGCUAGUGAAGCAGCUAUAAUAUUAUUGCCAUCAAAUAUUACAGUUUUCACCCUCGACUUUUCUGGAUCUGGACUCUCUGAAGGAGAGCAUGUCAGUCUAGGGUGGUAUGAGGUAAGUUUUGCUUCUUUCACAAGGGUAAAAUCGUCCUUUACUCCCAUUCAGACAGAUAGACAGACAAGACAGACAGACAAACGGUUGAAUCAGUCCAAAAAAGUACAAACAAACAUCGUUUUUAGUUAACAUAUCUAUCCAUACAGCACUUAAUGGAAAAGAAAAAUAAGAAACAUACACUUUAGAUACUUAAAUUAAACCUUUUAAAUAUAUAAUCAAAUCAAUUUUUUUAUUUGGGUAUUUUCAGAAGCAAGAUUUGAAAGCUGUGGUAGAUCAUUUGAGGGCUGAUGGAAAUGUUUCAUUGAUAGGCCUUUGGGGUCGAUCUAUGGGUGCUGUGACUAGGUAUUUUAAUUUUUUAUAUUCUUAAAGUUUUUUUUUUAUAAAUAUUUUUUGCAGUGUAUCGAGGUAGAUAUAACAUUUAGCUUGACCUUGUCUUGUUUAUAGAAUAUAUGCAGACCAUUUUUUCAUUAGAUUUGAAUAUUUUAACGAUUUAAUGUAACAAACUAUUAUUUUUUACAAUCUAAUGAAUUAGCUUACAUUUUUUCUUGUUACAACAUUGUAUGUUAAACAAUCUACCCUAUUAUAGCAAUAUUUAUUGCUUCCUAGGUGGAUUUUUCAAAGUAUAAUGUUGUAAUAAGAAAAAAAAUUUGAAAUUACAUUGCUAUAAUUGUAUAAAGUUAUUCACAAAUAAAUGAAAGUACACAUUGCUGUUUCUUUCAUUUAGCCCUAGUAAACUUUUUUAUUAGGUUUUUAUUAUUGUUAUUAAAAUACUCAUCUUCCUGUUUUAAGUUAUUGACUUAAAAUGUUCAUCUUUUUCAGCCUCAUGUAUGGAUCUGAGGACCCUUCAAUUGCAGGAAUGGUUCUUGAUAGUCCUUUUUCUGAUUUAGUUGAUUUAAUGAUGGAACUUGUGGAUACCUACAAAUAUCGUCUCCCCAAGUUUACUGUAUGGAAGCUUACUAAAAAUAUAUAACAGUUUUGAGUUUUUAAUUUGAUUUUCUUUUAUUUUUAUUUAUUCAAUUAUUUUUUUCAGAUUAAGUUUGCUAUCCAGUACAUGCGGAAGGCUAUUCUAAAAAAGGCAAAAUUUGACAUUGUGGAGUUGAACACCAUAAAGGUUUGUUUUAUUAUUAAGGCUACAUUUGUUACACACGAGGAGGGCAUUCACGUCUUUUUCACAGGUCUGUUUUUUGUUGUCAUUUUAGGUUGCCAAGUCUUCCUUUGUUCCGGUUCUUUUUGGUCAUGCAGUUGAUGAUGACUUUAUACAACCACAUCACUCCGAUCGUAUUUAUGAGGCUUACAUGGUAUAUUACACACACACACACAAACACUAUAUUGUGGCUAUUUCAAAUUGAUACAAUAAGAAUUCAUUUUAUUAUUACAAAAAUGGCAACAUGCGGUUUAUUUUGUUACAUUUUGCAGGGUGACAAAAAUAUCAUCAAAUUUGAGGGUGAUCACAACUCUCCACGUCCUCAAUUCUAUUUUGAUUCUAUUAACAUAUUUUUCCACAAUGUCUUGCAACCUCCCGAAGAUGAAGUUAGGAGAAGCUUGAUUGACACGUCACUAAGUUACUUAGACAAGGUAUAAAUAUACUUAAAUUAUGCAUUAAUCAAUAUAUUUCCUAUAUAAUAUUCAAAUCAUAUUUCUUUUUUAAUUUCCCCCUAGGAAUUUGACAUGAGCGAGGAUGAGGACAAUCUUAUAUUUGCACCUCAAGGCAUGCCAUUUCUAAUUUUUAUUUUUAUUUUAUUUUAUAGGAGUUGGUUUGGUAUAAUAUUCUUUGAACCCCAUUUGUUACACUGGUAGGACAUGACAAGACAAGACAAGACAAGACAAGACAAGACAUGACAUGACAUGACAUGACAUGACAUGACAUGACAUGACAUGACAUGACAGUAGUAGGGCUAUUUUUGAUGAUGAGGGCAUUGAUGUCCUUUUUAUAGUUAAGAUGGUCCCACCUUUUUGGGUGGAACAAAAAAUGCAAAUUUUGUCCUGUUGACAUUAUUCUGACAGUCUUAGUUCUAGUGCAUGACAAAUGCAGUGCAACCUGUUGUGCUCUGUCUUAUGUAACAAGUGGAGCCCUAAGGAUCCUUUCCUUAUAUUUGUUUAAUAAUUGCAUAUUCAGCAUCAAGUAGCACCGAAGAAGUCAUUGACCAAGUUCGUCAUAAAAGACCAAUGAGCAAGAUAGAGGUGCCUUGUGAAAUGUCAUCAACGUAUAAACAAUGUAACGUAGAGGUAUCUUUCUUGUUUCUAGUUAAAUCAUAUUUCUAUCUCACUUCAUCUUUACAACAAAACUAGAAGAAUUUGUGGGUAUAAGUUUCAAUUUUUUGUUUUUUUAUGACAAUGGAGAUAUUGAUACUUACUACUAAAUAUCAUUGUAUGUGCAGGAAGAAGAAAGUACAAAGGGGGGUGUUUCAUCAUUGUCAAAAAUGAUUAAUUUUGAGUUUUGUAACGGAUCUUCUUACGAACAUGAUGACCUCACGUCAAUAGAUGAUGAUGAAUAUGUUGAGUAUCCACUUCAUAAUGUUGACGAUAUUCCAUGCAACAAAGAGGAAGAAGAAAGGGUAUGUAUAUGUCUUGUCAUGUUUUGUCCUAUGUGUAUAUGCAUUUUACGUCUUUUGCGCAGACAGAUGGAUCCAAUGCAAAUCCGCCUCCCACCUUUUUGGUGGGAUAAAUAUUAUAGCUUUUGUCCCAUUUAUAUCGGUUUGAUUCCAAUGCAUGUCAAACAAUGCACAAUUUGUUUUGUCAUGUCUUGUCCUGAAUAUCAAUUCUUUUAUCACAGUACAAUGCAGGCCAAACACAGUGCUGAGCUGUCAUGUUUUGUCCUAUGUGUAUAUGCAUUUUACAAAUUCUAACCAUAUAUUGGUUUCAUCUUGCUAAAAAACUUUAGAUGCUCAUGGAAGCUGUACUACUUUCUUUAAACCAAGAUGCAACUCCUUUAGGUGAUCAACAGCCUAUAGAUCCAACGGCUUGUAGAAGUGAUGAGUCACCUUCUGAGGUAAAGUCUCGGUGCAAUGCCACGUCAUCACCAUCAAAUGCAACUGCGUCUGUGGAAGAUUCUGGAAGUAACAGUAGAACUUCUGCUGGUACUAUCGCCGCCAGCUCAUCUGAUGACAUGGCUGAUGGGAUAAAAGCCACAGUGACAGUUGUGAAAAGUCCGUCUAUUAGCAUAAUGGACAGUUUCUUACGUGGUUGGGAUUUAAACUUUUUCAAAACCAGAUAAUCAUAUGUUAUUAUUGAUUAAUUUUGUGGCUUUUGAUUUCCUACAUAUUGUAUAUUAGGUGUUAACUUUGGUUCUUUUUUGAUUGUAUGGAAACAAAAUAUCGUUUGUGUUUCUUGCGUCUAAUUUCUUGAUCUUACAGGAUAUAACAUAACAUAUUGUAUUGUUUUUGGCGUACAUUGAACAGGAAAAUGAGACUAAUAAUGGUGUCGAGACUCUAAAUAAAUACAAAACUAAUUAGUAUAAUGAUCAAAGGUGACUUCAUACCAAAAGGAUCUAUUUAGUAAUAAUCAUUGUUCGCUAAAAGUAAUUACCGUCUUAAUAAGAAAAAAAAAGGAAUAUUGUUGGUGGGUAAAUUGAUGUCCUUUGGCAAGUAAAUUAGCUUUUAACUGUAAGAAUUUGUAACAAGACAGCUAGGCUUGGUAUGUGCAAUUGUGUGAUGUAUAUAGUUUUAAUAAAUUUAUGUACAAUUCUAAGAAACCUAAAAGCACUAACUAUUUAAUUAUCUUUAGCAAUAAAUCUAGAACUCGAUAGUAAUCAUAGAUAGAAUUUUUCUUAUUACUUCAUACCCAAGCAUAAAACAUGAGAGGUAUUAUAAGGGAGUACAAGAUUAUAAAGAUGGUAAACAGGCUAAAUAAAAGGAAAAAAUAAAGCAAAUAAAAUAUAAAAGAUAUCUUAUGAUAUGGUUUCCAACUAGAAGGAAUUUAGGGUUUAGGGUUUAGGGUUGUUUUGCUUAUUUGCUUAAUAUAGCAUCCUAUUUUAAUUUUUUUAAAUGUAAUUCUUAAAAAAUAUAAAGAUGAAACUACCAAACCAUAAAGAAAUGUCCAUUUUUUUCAAACCUGCUGGCCAAUAUAUUACUGAAACGGGCAGAAUAGUCUUUUUGUCUGUUAUUAUCCUUGUCCUAAUCCCUAAAAAAAAUCAUGUAAUAUAUUAACUACUAUUAUAUUGUCUAGACCAAAAUUUAUAAAAGUGAUGGUGUUUUAGUAAACUAAAAAGUCAAUAUUUUGAUAGAAAAGAAAAUAAAAACCCAUCACUGAACGGUUCAUAAACGAUUAAUCUAUUGAUAACAAAUUCUAACAACUUGCUAGAACAACUUUUAAAAAAAAACACAAAUGAUUAUCCUACCACAUACCUUUCAACACACACUAACAAUAUUUCCCCUGCGGCCGAUGGUUUUGUUGCGAGAAAAAUAAUUUACGGGAAGCAAGGCAGCAAGUCAGGCAAUCCAUAAUACUAACAAUCAUUUAUGUGGGUGAAAAAUCAAAAUUAUAACAGAAGUAUGAUGCUGUUUCUUGCAUAUAAUCCUUAAGUUAUUUUCCUAAAAAAUAAGAUAUAAAAAAAUUAAAUUCAAUAAUUUCAUUUGCAAAUCAUCCAUGGAACGAAAACAAUAUAGAUACAAUAAAAGGAAGCAAGGGCAAUGGUCGGCUGAAAUUGUUAUAAACGCGCAGUAAGGUUUUUUAUAUAUUAAGCAGAACUAUUGUAUAUAAUUUUAUAAGUAAUAUUAUAUGAAAGUCUAACAUUUUCAAUACAUAUACUUCUUCAUGAAGGUCCCAUUUGUCCUGUUCCCACCAAUUUUAACACAGAAACUAAAGCAUCAAGCUUCUCAGGUGUAAAGCUCCCUUGCUUUAUAAAUUGCAUUUCCUACAUAAGUUUGUAGGAUAUAUGUAUACAUAUUGUUAGGAAAUAUGUAGAGAAAUUUUUAGAUAUGGUUUUGGUAAGGUGAUCAUGGUUUAUGCAUAUUACCUUUUUGAGGGCAUAUUAGUCUUCAAAUAAACAAACAUAUUAUGAUAAGAGAAUGUAAACUUUGAAAGCUAAAUUUGCAAAUGGAUGAUAAAUUUUAGUUGGUGGAGAAAGAUGGCUGAAAUUGAUAAGAAUACUUUACCAUUUAUUGAUUUCAAACCCAGAUUUUAAAUAGUCGUUUUAACAAACACCUGGUGCGCUUCGUCCAUUUCUUCAAACUUCUCUAAUAAUCAUGAACACACACAGCUGUUCCUGCAACCUCAUCCCGUCAAACACCUGAAAAACGAAACAAAAUCCAGUGUUUUUUGAAAGCUAGAAAAGAAAGAAAAUGAAUAAUCGAAAACGAACCUUAAAUUGAUUCCCAGAGAAAGAACGGAAACUGAUAGGAGAAGCAGUGAAGGAAACGUAGAACCGUUAAGAAAAGAGGAAAUCGAUGAUGUCGUCGGCGCCCUGAUCCAAAGAACCACCACCAAACGGUCUCUGACUGCUGCUCCUUCAGCAGUCGUCGAUCACCAGCAACAGCUCCAACGUCAGUCACAAUGAUGAUCGUCAACCGUCGACCGCCUUCAAUAUUGGCGACGUAACAAAUCUGCCCGGGUGGGAACCGAACACCCCGCUGCUCCGAAGAGAGAAAAGAAAGGAAGUCGGAGGAAAUGAGAGACGAGUUUUAUUAAAAGAGGAAGCCUAAGGAAAUGAAAG